Molecule: ribosomal RNA, 471 nt
Filed under: uncultured Actinomycetes bacterium
Lineage: Bacteria; Bacillati; Actinomycetota; Actinomycetes
Description: bacterial SSU rRNA
Rfam family: Bacterial small subunit ribosomal RNA
Source: RNAcentral
GACGAACGCUGGCGGCGUGCUUAACACAUGCAAGUCGAGCGGAAAGGCCCCUUCGGGGGUACUCGAGCGGCGAACGGGUGAGUAACACGUGAGCAACCUGCCCCUGACACUGGGAUAAGCCUGGGAAACCGGGUCUAAUACCGGAUAUGACCUGCCUCCGCAUGGGGGUGGGUGGAAAGGUUGGUCCGUUUGGGUCUUCCGGUCAGGGAUGGGCUCGCGGCCUAUCAGCUUGUUGGUGGGGUAACGGCCUACCAAGGCGACGACGGGUAGCCGGCCUGAGAGGGCGACCGGCCACACUGGGACUGAGACACGGCCCAGACUCCUACGGGAGGCAGCAGUGGGGAAUAUUGCGCAAUGGGCGAAAGCCUGACGCAGCGACGCCGCGUGGGGGAUGAAGGCCUUCGGGUUGUAAACCUCUUUCGGCAGGGACGAAGUUGACGUGUACCUGCGGAAGAAGCGCCGGCUAACUAC